RNAcentral lists this long non-coding RNA (243 nucleotides) under Trifolium pratense (red clover). RNAcentral describes it as "long non-coding RNA (TPRA_LNC012720)". The record is from RNAcentral. Lineage: Eukaryota; Viridiplantae; Streptophyta; Magnoliopsida; Fabales; Fabaceae.
UAAAAUGUGAAUCGGAUGAAUCGGUUUCUAAUAAUUUAUGAAGGAAAUUGGAAUAUUUUUAGAAUUCAAUUAGAUAGAAAAUAGAUAAAUAUAAAUUUUUUUGUUGUCGAAGAUCAUUUUUGUUAGAACCCUCUCUUUAUUUCAUUUUAAAGAAUUCAUUAGUCGUGCAGUAACACGGAAAAAUAAUAGCAAUAAUAAAUACUAAAAACACAAAUUCUUUCUUAAAGGACACAAAAAAGCUAC